AAGCGGACCUCAUAAAGUGCGUCGUAGUCCGGAUUGGAGUCUGCAACUCGACUCCAUGAAGUCGGAAUCGCUAGUAAUCGUGGAUCAGAAUGCCACGGUGAAUACGUUCCCGGGCCUUGUACACACCGCCCGUCACACCAUGGGAGUGGGUUGCAAAAGAAGUAGGUAGCUUAACCUUCGGGAGGGCGCUUACCACUUUGUGAUUCAUGACUGGGGUGAAGUCGUAACAAGGUAACCGUAGGGGAACCUGCGGUUGGAUCACCUCCUUACCUUAAAGAA
Molecule: ribosomal RNA, 279 nt
Filed under: Escherichia fergusonii
Lineage: Bacteria; Pseudomonadati; Pseudomonadota; Gammaproteobacteria; Enterobacterales; Enterobacteriaceae
Description: partial 16S ribosomal RNA
Rfam family: Bacterial small subunit ribosomal RNA
Source: RNAcentral